GAUCAUGGCUCAGGAUGAACGCUAGCUACAGGCUUAACACAUGCAAGUCGAGGGGCAGCAUGGUCUUAGCUUGCUAAGGCUGAUGGCGACCGGCGCACGGGUGAGUAACACGUAUCCAACCUGCCGUCUACUCUUGGCCAGCCUUCUGAAAUGAAGAUUAAUCCAGGAUGGGAUCAUGAGUUCACAUGUCCGCAUGAUUAAAGGUUAUUUUCCGGUAGACGAG
This 223-nucleotide ribosomal RNA is filed under the name uncultured bacterium. Its description in RNAcentral is "partial 16S ribosomal RNA". It matches the Rfam family "Bacterial small subunit ribosomal RNA", at positions 15 to 226 of the family's 1533-position model. The record is from RNAcentral.